Coffea arabica (coffee) is the source of this 2660-nucleotide non-coding RNA. The record is from RefSeq and is a predicted model, not a curated record. NCBI's taxonomy places the organism in Eukaryota, Viridiplantae, Streptophyta, Magnoliopsida, Gentianales, Rubiaceae.
GAGAUCAGAAUAUUUAGUUUUAAAUUGUUAGUUCGUCGAGAUCGAACUCGAGUUCGAGUUCAAUAAAAAUAAGUUAAGACUCGAUUCGAUUAGGUCAAAACUCGAUUCGAUUCGAUUCGUUUGCAACUCUAGUUACAGUAUCACAGGCACUUUCUAGAUCUCACCCUUCUUUCAAAGUCGACUUGAAACUUGAAAGUUCAUCUAUGGCACGGGUGAAAGACUAAAAAUUGAUAAUGGGGUAAAAUACUAAAAAAUAAAUGUUAGAGGAAAAAAUUGAUAGUAGUGUUAUAGUUUAAGGAGGCAGAGUGAUAAUCACUUCUUUUUUUUUUUUUUUGGCUCAAUUGGAAACUCUGUCUGGUAUAGUAUCACAGGCACUUUCUGGAUCUAGCCCUUCUUUCAAAGUCGACUUGAAACUUGAAAGUUCAUCUAUGGCUCGGGUGAAAGACAUUCGGAAGAUGGAUGAGUGGUGAUUCUAUGGUUCUGGUUGCUUCUGCCUUGCAAAUUAGCUAGAGAAUUUGUCAUGCAAAAAGUAUUCAGUUGGCAAUAAUAAUUGUUAAUAUAUUUUCUUAGCAUUAAACUAGCGAAGCCCUUAUCUAUUUGUUGCGCGUUUGUUGAAAUUAAUGUUCUCAUUAACGUUUGAUCAGAUGCCCCAAUUAGUCAACUUCUAUUGUUAAAAAACCUAUUAAUUAGUUAAACUUUAUGCUAUUUAUUAAUUGAUGCAGGGUUCUUGUCUUCAGUUUCAUAAAAUGAUGAGGCAAAACUUUUAAUAGAAAUUCGCAUCUUAUUUUAUCAAGAAAACUUGGUUAAGUAUCAUUUGGUUGCCAUUUUGCUACUGCUAUUACAGAAUUUAGAUUUUGUGGUGGAGAUGCUUAGUUGGAAUGGCAAGCUCUAAUAGAUAUUGGACUCGUUCUGCUAUUAAAGGAUCAAGCUACAAGCGCAAGAGAGGCUUGAGCGAAGUGGUGAAUUCAGAUGUUAGGCUUAGUAAUUUGCCAGACUGGAUACCUUGUCACAUUCUGUCUUUUCUUCCAACAAAAGAAGUUAUGGCUACGAGCCUUUUAUCAAGACGAUGGGAAUUUCUCUGGACUGAAAUCUGUAGUUUUCAUUUUGAAGAUUUCAAUGAAUGUUAGAGCCGAAGUGACAUUUUUUUUGAAAAAAAAAAGAGCUUUGUGAAAUUUGUAGACAGGGUUUUGCUUCUCAGAAAUGUCAAAACAGCAAUAAGUUCUGUCUGAAGUGGAAAUAUUUCUGCGAAAGCAUCAAAGCGAGCAGAUGGGCCAACAUUGCAGUUGCUAGUAAUGUCCAAGUGCUUAAUGUCCUUCUUCAUUGUGCUUGUGAUAGCUGUUCUGAUUUAGGCUAUAAAUUGUGCCUAGGAGCCUCUUUACCUGUGAUACACUAGAAUUUCUAUAAUUGUCUGGUGAUAUUAUCAUUGAUGUUCCAAACAUCGUUUAUCUUCCUAGGUUUGUGAAUCUGAAUCUUGUUAGAGUUGCAUUCAAAUCGAAUGACUCUGUCCAGAACCUUAUAACUGGUUGUGCAGUUCUAAAGUUCUUGUCUAUUGCAAGAAAUACCUGGCAUGAUGCGGCUAUAAUCACAAUAUCAUCUCCUGUUUUGAAAAGACUAGAACUGAAACCUUAUGAAGAAAGUUUAGGUUUUUUUUCUCCUUAUGAUUUUGGCUAUAAAGACUCUAAGCUCGAGAUCAUUGCCUCUGUACUUGAGCACCUGUAUCUGCAAGAUUGCAAGAUUGUGCCGGUCAAGACUUUGUUUUAGGAAGCCUUACCUCCUUAGAAGAAGUAUAUGUUGAUGUUUCCUGCCACAGCCCCCCUGAAAUCAGUUAUUGGAAUUCAGUUGUUAAGCUACUUGAAACACUUCAUCAUGUGAAGUUUCUGAGGUUUUCAUAUGAUACCAGUAAGGCUCUUAAUGGAGCAACUAACCAUUUGUCGACAACGUUCAAGAGAUUAACCACACUGGUUGUAGAAGUUUAUUGCUCCAAGUGGAAAUUCCUGCCAAUGUUGCUUGAAAACUGUCAAUUUACAAGUUCUCCAACUUUGCAAGGUCUAAGGCUGUUGUAUAUGAAGAAACAAUGAAAAUUACCACUUGUAGAAGGAGUUGUUCUGUUGCACUUUCAACUUUUGGAGAAUGUAUUGAACAGCUAUUUUUGUUGUAACCAGCCAUGGUAUAUAUGUUGUCAAGAAACACAUAAUGGAUGCUGGAGGAUUCCUAGUUGCUUGUUAUUAAGUCUCAGAGAAAUGUUUGUCAGAGGAUUUACUGGCCUGGAAGAUGAACUUGCAAUGAUAAGGUAUGUUCUGAAGUAUGGGAGAGUCCUCAAAAAAUGGAGCUAGAUUCUGGUCUGCAUGCUGAUGACUUCAAGAAAAAUUUCCAGUUGCUUCAGAAGAUAUUAAUGUUCCCCAGAAAGUCAUUUACAUGUGUGAUUGCAUUUUCUUGAGGUGCAUAGAUGAGCUGAUUAUCACCUUUUUACUAAGAGGUGAUGUAACUAAAGUAGAAUUGAGUUUUUAAUUUCUACGUGUUAAGUUUUUUGAAGUUGUGUGUACAAAUACGUUUUAUGGUGCUGCUUACAGUUUUUAAGGGAUAGGAACCAUAUGACCCAAGUAGCUUGCUCUGAUUAUUUUGCGUAUGUGGAAUUAAUUGGUCCUUUUGUUUGAGCUUGC